Molecule: ribosomal RNA, 788 nt
Filed under: Glyphiulus duangdee
Lineage: Eukaryota; Metazoa; Arthropoda; Diplopoda; Spirostreptida; Cambalopsidae
Description: partial large subunit ribosomal RNA
Rfam family: Eukaryotic large subunit ribosomal RNA
Source: RNAcentral
CAAACGCCGGGUUAAGGCGCCCGAUGCGGACGCUCAUGAGAGCCCAUGAAAGGUGUUGGUUGCUAUAGACAGCAGGACGGUGGCCAUGGAAGUCGGAAUCCGCUAAGGAGUGUGUAACAACUCACCUGCCGAAGCAACUAGCCCUGAAAAUGGAUGGCGCUCCAGCGUCGAGCCUAUACCCGGCCGCUGGUGGCAUUUAGCCCGAUGCCCCAGCGAGUAGGAGGGUCGCGGCGGUGCACGUUGAAGGUGUCAGGCGCGAGCCUGCCUGGAGUCGCCGCCGGUGCAGAUCUUGGUGGUAGUAGCAAAUACUCAAGUGAGACACCUUGAGGACCGAAGUGGAGAAGGGUUCCAUGUGAACAGCAGUUGAACAUGGGUCAGUCGGCCCUAAGGAAUGGGAUAAUUCCGUUCCGAUCGGCCGGGCGUUUUUUACCGAACUGCCCGCAAGACCGAAAGGGAAUCCGGUUAAUAUUCCGGAACCAGGCUACAGGGAUCGGUUCCGCGCCGCUUUUCCGCUUUCGGGUUUUGCGCCUCUAACCGGGCGCAGGCCUUGGCGGAGAGCGGUCGGGGCCCGUGGCGGUAACGCAAACAGGCUCGGAGACUGGCGGUGGGGGUCCCGGGAAGAGUUUUCUUUUCUUUGUAAGGGACGGACUCCAUGGAAUCGGCUUGCCCGGAGAUAUGGACGUUGUUCCCGGAAAGCACCGCGGCUCUUGCGGUGUCCGGUCCACUUCCACCGUCCCGUGAAAAUCCGAGUCUGCGACAUGAUCUUUGUGCCUGACCGUACCCAUAUC